Molecule: ribosomal RNA, 481 nt
Filed under: uncultured bacterium
Lineage: Bacteria
Description: partial 16S ribosomal RNA
Rfam family: Bacterial small subunit ribosomal RNA
Source: RNAcentral
GAUGAACGCUGGCGGCGUGCUUAACACAUGCGAGUCGAACGAAGCAUUUAAGACAGAUUACUUCGGUUUGAAGUCUUUUAUGACUGAGUGGCGGACGGGUGAGUAACGCGUGGGUAACCUGCCUCAUACAGGGGGAUAGCAGCUGGAAACGGCUGGUAAUACCGCAUAAGCGCACAGUACCACAUGGUACAGUGUGAAAAACUCCGGUGGUAUGAGAUGGACCCGCGUCUGAUUAGCUUGUUGGCGGGGUAACGGCCCACCAAGGCGACGAUCAGUAGCCGACCUGAGAGGGUGACCGGCCACAUUGGGACUGAGACACGGCCCAGACUCCUACGGGAGGCAGCAGUGGGGAAUAUUGCACAAUGGAGGAAACUCUGAUGCAGCGACGCCGCGUGAGUGAAGAAGUAGUUCGCUAUGUAAAGCUCUAUCAGCAGGGAAGAUAGUGACGGUACCUGACUAAGAAGCGCCGGCUAAAUACGUG